CCUUUGAGACUUUCUCGAGUAACCUGGUGGUUCUUGUGUUUUUUCUAAGGACACUUAUUGGAGCGUGGAACUCGCCUUUUGCUGGAGCUUAAGGACUCGUGUAUUUGGAUUCCCCUCCUGGAGACUCUCACCUGGAAACCAACCAUCCUCCGUCCUGCCACUCUCUCUCUCUCUCUCCCACGGACCUGGAACACAAACAGACACCUAAACCUAAAACACUUACUUCCCGGACUUCCUUUGCCUCCUCCUCCAAGCUGACCUCCCUCCCAAGAGCCUGACAAACCCUGUGCCUGACAUUCACAGUAAAUAGACAACCCGUUGCCUGACAUUCACUGUAAAUAAACAUCAUUAAACUUUC
Girardinichthys multiradiatus is the source of this 358-nucleotide long non-coding RNA. RefSeq lists it as uncharacterized. The transcript has 2 exons. The record is from RefSeq and is a predicted model, not a curated record. Lineage: Eukaryota; Metazoa; Chordata; Actinopteri; Cyprinodontiformes; Goodeidae.